UAAUAAGUGUUUAUGGCACUUCUUAAAUCCAUAUCCACCUUGUGUGCAAUGUCAGCCGUUUUUCUUUAUGGAAGGCGGCCAAACAUCAACUUAUUUUUUAACUGUCUGUCUGAAAACUAUUAUGAAUAAACAAUUCAAAUA
RNAcentral lists this unclassified non-coding RNA (141 nucleotides) under uncultured Mortierella. RNAcentral's name for it is "sequence contains ITS1". Lineage: Eukaryota; Fungi; Mortierellomycota; Mortierellomycetes; Mortierellales; Mortierellaceae. The record is from RNAcentral.